GGGGGAUGCAUGCGGUCGAGCGCGCCUUCCGGCGACCGGGGUAAUGUGCAAUUACUAGCGAGACCGUCUCCUUCUCUACGGAUUGCCCAUUGGAAUCCAAAAUGAAUACCGUAUUGUAGAUUCGCUCCAUCGAUUUAUCGGACAGGGAUCGGUCCCUAUUAUAGUAGGUAGUGGGUGGGGUAACGGCCUACGGCCCCUAUGAUCUAUCGUCGGCUUUACAGGACGAUCAGCAACACUGGGACUGAUACCUAGACCCCACUCCUUGAGUAGGUGGCAAUGAGGAAUCUUGGAUGCUGGGCGCAAGCCUGAUCCCCUGACACCUCGUGAGUGAAGAAGGCCCUAAGGUCGUAAAGCUCUUUCGCCUGUCAAGAUAAUGACGGUACCUGGCAACUGAACCCCUGCUUUUUCCCUGUGGUAAGGUUCCUCGCGUAUCAUGGGGUUAAACUUGUUGCUAAUUACUGGGCGCGGGCCCCCGUAAUUCGAUUGAAUUUUGUCGGGCAAAUCCCGGCGCUCAACCCCGGAACUGCCUCUUUCGCUCCUGGUCUCAAAUCUUAGAGAGAUGAGUGGAACUAGUAACUGUCGAGGUGAAAUUCGUAGAUAUUCGGAAGAACAUCCUGGUCGCUAGCGGCUCUUUGGCUCGAUAUUGACG
Molecule: ribosomal RNA, 649 nt
Filed under: uncultured bacterium
Lineage: Bacteria
Description: bacterial SSU rRNA
Rfam family: Bacterial small subunit ribosomal RNA
Source: RNAcentral